This 244-nucleotide unclassified non-coding RNA is filed under the name Hevea brasiliensis (rubber tree). Lineage: Eukaryota; Viridiplantae; Streptophyta; Magnoliopsida; Malpighiales; Euphorbiaceae. The record is from RNAcentral.
CGAGUUUUCUAGACUGAUAAUUAUAUUAUUCAUGAAGCUGCUACUAGAAAUAAUGUGAAUAUAAGUUUAAAAAUUUUGAGCCUAUAGGAUAAAAUUUUCAUGUACAGUUCAUUCUUUGUUUCCACUCCUUCCAAAUGGGAUUCUCUCCCUGAGAAUAUGAAAAAAAAAAUGAACUGUACAUGNAAGUGUAUCUAAGGAAACACUAAAAAUCAAUGCUUUCGAUGUAUUGUAUAAUUAGCGGGCC